Syngnathus acus (greater pipefish) is the source of this 1689-nucleotide long non-coding RNA. RefSeq lists it as uncharacterized. The transcript is spliced from 4 exons. The record is from RefSeq and is a predicted model, not a curated record. Lineage: Eukaryota; Metazoa; Chordata; Actinopteri; Syngnathiformes; Syngnathidae.
CAUCCCUCCAGUUUUCUUAUUUCCACUGAAUGUCGAAUUUCAAUGUCAAGUUAAUUCAAUAGGCGUCAGGAGCGUCAAUCUUGCACGCACUCCGACUCCUUCCAUAACUUUGUACACGGUGGACAUGCAAGCGCGUCAACCGGGACCGGAGCUCCGUUGUCGGUCGUCCACCCGAAUCGGAGGCUUAUUAGACACCGUGGAACUCCUGCGGAACGUGGUGCGCCUCACCUGCACGCGAAGUUAUUUGUUAUUUACGAGAUCGAUAGCACGCCGAGAUAGCGUCAAAGCAUUAAAAGGCUGAUCAAGAAGGACAAGCAUGCGCUAUUUUAACAAAGUGUCGCUUCAAUUGCCCAUUUUUCAAGUUUGUACCACAACCACGGACGAUGGCGAAAUUCCACUUCAGCACCGGCUUUUGGUAAUUCAUCAGCGAUGCAUUAUUAAUCAAGAAAGGAUAAGGAAACUCUUUCAAUUAUGGUCAGGCUACAUGUAUGGAAACGACGCGCCAGUGUUUCACAGCGGUGAGCAACAUGGCUGCCCGGUGUUCUGAAGCACGGCGGGAUGUGUCAGUGUGGUGCAAGGACUGACACGGGGGCGAGAUGCACUUUAUGGCUACGAAGUUAAGCGCUAGUGGCAAAGUGGCUUUUCUCAGAUGUUCCCCGCGACCUUCGACCUCAGCGUCGGGGGGUCAAGCCCUGACAAAUGGGAUGGCCGAGUUCUGACCAGAACUGCCAACAUUCCACAACAAUCUCGCGUCCUCCUCCACUCGCCUCAUAUCCGUGAUGUGUCACCGGGCACCCCCCGCCCUUUUAGACUCAACGUCUGCCAUGACUUGGGUAAAGUUCUCAUUAGACAAACAUAGUUGAUUGAGUGUGCUGUGGGAAUCUUUAAACACAUACAUUUGGAAUUAAGAAUUACAACAUGAGCUAAAAUUUAAUUUCCCAUAAACAUCUCGCUUGUUUAGACAAGGGAAGGGAACAAAAACCAUCUAGCGAAUAUUACGACCUCGUGUGUGUGUGUGAGAGAGAGAGAAAAAAGCUUGUCAGUGAUGUCAAGGAUGAGAAAUGUUGCAGUGUGCUUUUUACACACACUGCUGGCUCUAGCAUUUCCGGCAACAUUUCUCACUCUGCUUCCCUCACACCAUUCACUCUGCUGCAAUAUCCCCACAUUUUUCUAUCCUUUCACAUCACCCCCCCUUCCUCUCCACCCCCCUCCACUUCCCUCCCCCCUCUCUUUCUUUCUUCUGGCCAUUCUGUCUCCUUUUACUACUCAUGUCUGCUGCCCCGUCCUCACCCAAUGUCAACCUCUCUUUUAUUCCACAUCUCAUUCAGUCACUUCUCCUCUCUCCCUCUGGUCAUCUUCCUCCUCGUUAUAUUCUCGGAUUUUCUAACAUCGCAAAGCGUGCAAACACCUGCAACUGUUUAAAAGGGUAUAAGGAAUGUCGUUCUGCACGAGGAAGCUAGUUAAGGUAAGUGGCACGUCCUAAUGAUGGGGCAAAUAAUGAUUGUGUUUGUUUAUGAACGUUCCUUAUAGUAUGACCCCGGCUUCCUAAAUGUCAACCGUCUUCCCCUCCGAGCUCAGCGCACAGCUAUAAAAACAAAAAAAAGUCAUUGUGGAUGCGAGUCAGUAAAAGAAGCUUCUGUAAUAAUAUACAGUGGUUGCACCACAAGCCAAAUAAAAAUAUCAAUCUCA